Molecule: small nuclear RNA, 143 nt
Filed under: Catagonus wagneri (Chacoan peccary)
Lineage: Eukaryota; Metazoa; Chordata; Mammalia; Artiodactyla; Tayassuidae
Description: U2 spliceosomal RNA (ENSCWAG00000017702.1)
Rfam family: U2 spliceosomal RNA
About the family: U2 is a small nuclear RNA (snRNA) component of the spliceosome (involved in pre-mRNA splicing).
Source: Rfam by way of RNAcentral
CUCGCUUCUCGGCCUUUUGGCUAAGAUCAAGGGUAGUAUCUGUUCUUAUCAAUUUAAUAAAAAGCAAACCCUAUAAAUAAAAUAUUUAAAUACUGAUUAAGGGUAGUAUCGUUCUUAUCAGUUUAACAAAAAGCAAACCCUAU